GCCACGAUUGCAUCUGCUCCAACAGCAUGGUGGGGAUGAGCCUCUACCUCCAAAGGGAGACUGCGUUCCAGCACACAGAAUAGGACCCUUGGGAGACCUAGGCAGUGGUGUCACCAAAGAUAAACCAAAUGAGCUGAAGCAGCUGAUAUGAGGUCAAGAGCAAGUAACAAAUCUUGCUGGUCAGCACUUAGGGACGGUCCCUGCUCUCACAGUCUUCCCUGAAGAAUCUAAUCCACAGUGACUCUGGUACAUAAAGGCUAAUAAACACUAUAAUCCCAGUAUGAACAGA
Myodes glareolus (Bank vole) is the source of this 289-nucleotide non-coding RNA. Lineage: Eukaryota; Metazoa; Chordata; Mammalia; Rodentia; Cricetidae. The record is from RefSeq and is a predicted model, not a curated record.